UCCUGGCUCAGGACGAACGCUGGCGGCGUGCCUAAUACAUGCAAGUCGAGCGAAGUUUUUCUGGUGCUUGCACCGGAAAAACUUAGCGGCGAACGGGUGAGUAACACGUAAAGAACCUGCCUCAUAGACUGGGACAACUAUUGGAAACGAUAGCUAAUACCGGAUAACAGCAUUAACUGCAUGGUUGAUGUUUAAAAGUUGGUUUUGCUAACACUAUGAGAUGGCUUUGCGGUGCAUUAGCUAGUUGGUGGGGUAAAGGCCUACCAAGGCGACGAUGCAUAGCCGACCUGAGAGGGUGAUCGGCCACACUGGGACUGAGACACGGCCCAGACUCCUACGGGAGGCAGCAGUAGGGAAUCUUCCGCAAUGGGCGAAAGCCUGACGGAGCAACGCCGCGUGAGUGAAGAAGGAUUUCGGUUCGUAAAGCUCUGUUGUUAGGGAAGAAUGAUUGUGUAGUAACUAUACACAGUAGAGACGGUACCUAACCAGAAAGCCACGGCUAACUACGUG
This 510-nucleotide ribosomal RNA is filed under the name uncultured Gemella sp. RNAcentral describes it as "bacterial SSU rRNA". It matches the Rfam family "Bacterial small subunit ribosomal RNA", at positions 17 to 507 of the family's 1533-position model. The record is from RNAcentral. Lineage: Bacteria; Bacillati; Bacillota; Bacilli; Caryophanales; Gemellaceae.